ACAUACGACCAUACCCACUGGAAUAUACGGGAUCCCGUCCGCUCUCCCCUAGUCAAACCAGUGAGGGCCGAACUAGUACUCAGGUGGGUGACCACUGGGGAAUCCUCGGUGUUGUAUGUUUUG
RNAcentral lists this ribosomal RNA (123 nucleotides) under Pyricularia oryzae. The record is from RNAcentral. Lineage: Eukaryota; Fungi; Ascomycota; Sordariomycetes; Magnaporthales; Pyriculariaceae.